GACGAACGCUGGCGGCGUGCUUAACACAUGCAAGUCGAACGGAGAGGGAUGGAAGCUGGCUUCUAUCCAUGUUAGUGACGGACGGGUGAGUAACGCGUAAUCAACCUGCGCUUCAGGGGGGAACACCGGAUGGUAGCGACUGCUACUACUGCAUACUCUCUAAACUCGGUAUGGGGGGUAGAGGUAAGGUGGCCUCUGCAGGACACCUAGCACAUAAGGAGGGGGUUGCGUCAGUUUCGCUAGAUGGAGGGGUCGGGGCGCAGGCAGGAGAUGAUCAGUGGCCGGUCUGAGUGGACGAGCGGCCAGAUUGGGACUGAGACACGGCCCAGACUGCUACGGGAGGCAGCAGUGGGGAAUCUGCCGCAAUGGACGAAAGUCUGACGGAGCAACGCCGCGUGAGUGAUGACGGCCUUCGGGUUGUAAAGCUCUGUUAAUCGGGACGAAAGGCCUUCUUGCGAAUAGUGAGAAGGAGUGACGGUACCGGAUUAGAAAGCCACGGCUAACUACGUG
RNAcentral lists this ribosomal RNA (510 nucleotides) under uncultured bacterium. RNAcentral describes it as "partial 16S ribosomal RNA". It matches the Rfam family "Bacterial small subunit ribosomal RNA", at positions 28 to 507 of the family's 1533-position model. The record is from RNAcentral.